RNAcentral lists this ribosomal RNA (460 nucleotides) under uncultured bacterium. Its description in RNAcentral is "partial 16S ribosomal RNA". It matches the Rfam family "Bacterial small subunit ribosomal RNA", at positions 338 to 795 of the family's 1533-position model. The record is from RNAcentral.
CCUACGUGCGGCAGCAGUGAGGAAUAUUGGUCAAUGGGCGGAAGCCUGAACCAGCCAAGUCGCGUGAGGGAAUAAGGCCCUACGGGUCGUAAACCUCUUUUGCCGGGGAGCAAGGGCGGGGACGUGUCCCGGCCCGGAGAGUACCCGGAGAAAAAGCAUCGGCUAACUCCGUGCCAGCAGCCGCGGUAAUACGGAGGAUGCGAGCGUUAUCCGGAUUUAUUGGGUUUAAAGGGUGCGUAGGCGGGCUUUUAAGUCAGCGGUAAAAUCGUGGAGCUCAACUCCAUCCAGCCGUUGAAACUGAUGAUCGUGAGUGGGCGAGAAGUAUGCGGAAUGCGUGGUGUAGCGGUGAAAUGCAUAGAUAUCACGCAGAACUCAGAUUGCGAAGGCAGCAUACCGGCGCCCGACUGACGCUGAAGCACGAAAGCGUGGGUAUCGAACAGGAUUAGAUACCCGUGUAGUC